UGCCGAUUCGUCUAGUGGUAGGACACCAGAUUCUGGAUCUGGGAGCGCGGGUUCGAAUCCUGCAUCGGCAGCCA
RNAcentral lists this transfer RNA (74 nucleotides) under Chloroflexota bacterium. Its description in RNAcentral is "Chloroflexi bacterium tRNA-Gln". It matches the Rfam family "tRNA". From Rfam's summary of the family: Transfer RNA (tRNA) molecules are approximately 80 nucleotides in length. Their secondary structure includes four short double-helical elements and three loops (D, anti-codon, and T loops). Further hydrogen bonds mediate the characteristic L-shaped molecular structure. tRNAs have two regions of fundamental functional importance: the anti-codon, which is responsible for specific mRNA codon recognition, and the 3' end, to which the tRNAs corresponding amino acid is attached (by aminoacyl-tRNA synthetases). tRNAs cope with the degeneracy of the genetic code in two manners: having more than one tRNA (with a specific anti-codon) for a particular amino acid; and 'wobble' base-pairing, i.e. permitting non-standard base-pairing at the 3rd anti-codon position. Lineage: Bacteria; Bacillati; Chloroflexota. The record is from RNAcentral. RNAcentral also lists the same sequence under 1 other name.